AGUUUAUGUUUAUAUGUAGAUUGAUAUAUAUAUAUAUAUAUCAAUCUAAAAUAUAAUAGAACUCUCAAACAGUUUCUAAAACAUCCUUCAAAAUGAGUCUCUCCAAAAAAUUUAUAGUAAUCGCAUUUGUUUUCACUCUUUUCUUUGCGAUGCCAAUUGUUCGCUGCACCGAUAUUGUUUCAGAUUUCGGAAUAAAAAAAGUGUAUCAUAUAUGCUAUGGUCCAUGUGACGACAAAGGAGUGUGUGAGAAGUAUUGCCAAACCAAAAGCGGUCUGAUAAGGGGCGACUGUGUUGGUGGCACUUGUUGUUGUGAACACUAAAUAAAAUAUUAAAUAAUAUCGUUAGAUAUUAGAUCUUGUAUGAAAUGAAAUAAUAUUAUCAAUAAUACAUAAAAUGCUUUAAAAAAAUAUAAAAUAUUAUCAAAUUGAAGUUACUUUGAUUAACCUCGAGAAAAUAUUAGUCAAAGUUGCAAGUCUUUUCUAAAAAAAAAUUAAUAGAAAUAUAGUAAAUAUUAAUAAUGUAAUACAUCCUACGUGACUUAGAACUGUAAAAUAUGGAAGGGAAAACACGUGAAGAACAAUUAACGUUACAUAUAUAUCUCAUGCAAAAAUAAAUGAAGUGAAAAAGGAAACUAAUAAAAAAUGGUAAAUGUAGUUAAGUGAAAAAUAAAAAUAUUCAUUUUUUUCCUUUGUACAUAUAUAUUCAUUUAAAAAAAAGGAACUAAUAAGUGAAUGUAAAUGUAAUUAAGUGAAAAAUAAAAAUAUUCAUUUAAAAUAAAAUAUUAUACAAACAAUACUAUGACAGCAACAAACUCAAGUUAUUACGCUUAAACAAGUUACGCUUAAGCAAGAAAGUCAAUCAUCAUAUUAUAUGGCAUAAGCAAACAAAAUUGAACCGAACCAAAAUGGACAGAACUGAGCCAUUCUCCGGCUUAACCUUUGUCAAAAUUUCAGUAACCCCGAAGCAAACCUGAAAAAAUGAAAUGUCUACUAACCAUGUUUACUUAUAUCAUCAAAUGUUUUAGUGAAAACAUUGCAUUUGAUGAUUAUGUUAGUGAAGACCUGAAACAUUAGUUAUGUUGGUAUAAUAAGUAAACGAGGAUGUAUUUACGUUUACACAAACCAUUUUAAUCACGCAUUCAUACAACUAGUGCUACUAUGUUCACUUGCGCAUGGCGACAAAUAACAAUAGUAAUAUUGCUGUCGGUUGGAUUAGGUGUCUUUUGCAAUCCCCAGAGGCAGGAGCAGUACAAAGAUUAGGCCAUUAAACGUUAUGUACAAGCGAACCCUUAAUUAAACGUAGAACCGGUAAAAGUAAAACUCCAGGUGAAACGGUGAAAAAACUAAGGCAUUAUUUUAAGAGUUCAGAGAGACAUGAGAGCAAUCACGUCUUCAACGUUAACCUCUCUUUGACCCUUCCCAUGCCUUCUUUUAAAAGCUUCGUUAGCAAGAUUCUUCUUCUUCUGCUGAAGCUCAAGGACCCUCUCUUCAAUACUGUUCCUCGCAAUCAUCCUAAUCAUUUUAACCUCCUGUUUCUGCCCAAUCCUAUGAAUCCUGUCCAUGGCCUGUUCUUCAACCGCAGGGUUCCACCACGGCUCGAACAGGUAAACCCUCCUUGCUGCAGUCAAGUUUAUCCCAGCACCAGAGGCCUUGAGGCUUGCAAGCAACACCACGGGUCCGGAAUCUGCAUUAAACGAACAGGCUGGAAAGAUGCUACUUGAGAACUAUGAAGAGUACGCUAGGCAUGCUCGGCUUUACACGGGUAUCCAUGCUAAACCAAAACCUAAGUUCAAAUAAAAGAGAUGAAAUAUGGUUUUUGAGUUUUUUUUUCUGUCUAUUUUAAUAUUUCUUACUUCUUGUUCUUUCCUCAAUUAAAUCCAUUGCAAA
This is a long non-coding RNA of Brassica napus (rape), 1886 nucleotides long. RefSeq lists it as uncharacterized. The record is from RefSeq and is a predicted model, not a curated record. The transcript is spliced from 3 exons. Lineage: Eukaryota; Viridiplantae; Streptophyta; Magnoliopsida; Brassicales; Brassicaceae.